Molecule: ribosomal RNA, 489 nt
Filed under: uncultured bacterium
Lineage: Bacteria
Description: partial 16S ribosomal RNA
Rfam family: Bacterial small subunit ribosomal RNA
Source: RNAcentral
GUGCACGCUGGCGGCAGGCCUAACACAUGCAAGUCGAACGGCAGCACAAGAGAGCUUGCUCUCUGGGUGGCGAGUGGCGGACGGGUGAGGAAUGCAUCGGAAUCUGCCCAUUUGUGGGGGAUAACCUCGGGAAACCGGGACUAAUACCGCAUACGACCUACGGGUGAAAGCAGGGGAUCUUCGGACCUUGCGCAGAUGGAUGAGCCGAUGCCGGAUUAGCUAGUUGGAGGGGUAAAGGCCCACCAAGGCGACGAUCCGUAGCUGGUCUGAGAGGAUGAUCAGCCACACUGGGACUGAGACACGGCCCAGACUCCUACGGGAGGCAGCAGUGGGGAAUAUUGGACAAAGGGCGCAAGCCUGAUCCAGCCAUGCCGCGUGUGUGAAGAAGGCCUUCGGGUUGUAAAGCACUUUUGUUGGGAAAGAAAAGCAGCCGGUUAAUACCCGGUUGUCAUGACGGUACCCAAAGAAUAAGCACCGGCUAACUUCGUG